This 482-nucleotide ribosomal RNA is filed under the name uncultured bacterium. RNAcentral describes it as "partial 16S ribosomal RNA". It matches the Rfam family "Bacterial small subunit ribosomal RNA", at positions 30 to 507 of the family's 1533-position model. The record is from RNAcentral.
AUUGAACGCUGGCGGCAUGCUUUACACAUGCGAGUCGAACGGUAACAGGCCGCAAGGUGCUGACGAGUGGCGUACGGGUGAGUAAUGCAUCGGAACGUGCCCAGUCGUGGGGGAUAACUACUCGAAAGAGUAGCUAAUACCGCAUACGAUCUAUGGAUGAAAGCGGGGGACCGUAAGGCCUCGCGCGAUUGGAGCGGCCGAUGUCGGAUUAGGUAGUUGGUGGGGUAAAGGCUCACCAAGCCAACGAUCUGUAGCUGGUCUGAGAGGACGACCAGCCACACUGGGACUGGGACACGGCCCAGACUCCUACGGGAGGCAGCAGUGGGGAAUGUUGGACAAUGGGCGCAAGCCUGAUCCAGCAAUGCCGCGUGCAGGAAGAAGGCCUUCGGGUUGUAAACUGCUUUUGUACGGAACGAAACGGCUCUGGUUAAUACCCGGGGCUAAUGACGGUACCGUAAGAAUAAGCACCGGCUAACUACGUG